RNAcentral lists this long non-coding RNA (1513 nucleotides) under Monodelphis domestica (gray short-tailed opossum). RNAcentral's name for it is "lncRNA (ENSMODG00000047804.1)". The record is from RNAcentral. Lineage: Eukaryota; Metazoa; Chordata; Mammalia; Didelphimorphia; Didelphidae.
AAGAUGCCCUGGAGAAAGGCUCUACCGGUCUUUCUAGGUAGGAAAUAUCUGUGAUUCUAGGUAGAAAUUUCUUUUAACUACAACUGAUUUAAAACAUUUUUUUCUUUCUGUCUUUAUUUUUUCUUCUUCUCAUUUCUUCCCCUCCUCCCCCUUCCCAGUAUUCUUCGGCCCUAAGAGUGGCCGGGCUUGGCUCUGACCACCCACAUCCGUAUCCUUUUAAUUUGCAGCUUUGGGUAGCCGUGAAUGGAAGAGGAGGCUGUGAAUUAGAAGUGAGGCUGCCUUAGGCCACCAGCCUGGGAAGGAAGGAGGGGGGCACCGGGUGUGAUUGAUGGAGGCCUUCUGGCUGACACUGCCCACUGCCUCACUCCUCCUCCCUUCACUGAGACAGUCAGCAAGAGCAUCUGGUUUAAAAAGAACCGAGGAGUGUUGCAGAGAUGGUGAAAUGUUAGGAUUCCAUAGCCAGGAGGGAGUGAUGGAGCUGAGAAGAAUGGCAGAGAAGGAAGAAAUGGUGGCUAUGACAAUAGUAAGAACCUUAGACCUCUCUUUUAGUGUUUGUUCAGAUGUUAGCAUCCAAGCAUUGCACCAUGGAGAAAAGAGAAGGGAUCAACUAGAGACUAUUUCCCUUGCUAGUCUCUAGCAUCCUUCCUUAAGUGAACAGAGAUUUCUUCUCCACUGUUUGGGAAGAUAGAGGAAUGAACUGGGGAGCUGAGAGCCAUUUGGGAGUGGGCAUCAAGAGCAAUCAAUAGUUUCCCCAUUUCCUUAUUAUUUACUUAGCUCUAUUGCUAAUGAACUGCUUUUUGCUCUGAUUUAAUGAACUGUCUAGUCUGGUUUGGCUCAUAUUUAUUGGAUGGGGGCUCUGGGUGUAGCUUGAUGUAUCUGAGUAGAGCACCUUAAUGGGCUUGUGCUACAGUAGAAUGGUAGAGCUGGGAAAUACCUUAGAGCAGAGGUGACAAACUCAAGCAGAAAUGGGUGUCACUAGACUGUACACAGGGGCAGCUCAGCUAACAAAUCAGAUAGAGAACGAGGCUUGGAAACAGGAAGGCUCUUUUUCAUGAGUUCAAAACCAGCCUCAGAUACUUCCUAGUGGUUGUAAUCAAGAGAAAUGGCCAAAAGCGGUGUCUCUCCCAUUAUUACACGGUGUGACUCUGCCUCAGUUUCUUCAUCUGUUAAAUGAGCUCGAGAAGGAAAUGGCAAACCACUUUGGCUCUUUUGUGAAGAAAACCUUCAAUGAGAUCACAAAGAAUUAGACACAACUGAAAAAUGACUACACAACAUCAAACAUAUAUAAGGAUCCCUGGGGAUCCCAUACUGACUUAGAAACCCACACAUAAACAUUAUUUAUGUUUUAUUGUCUUUUUAUUUAUCUUGUUAAAUAUGGUUAACCUUCUACAUUGUGGUUAGGGGUGUGAUGCCCUACAGUCUGGAAAAUCUGCAUGCAUUUUUUUUGCCCCUCCCAUUGUGCCGGAGAAGAAGUCGGAAUUUUUUUCUUUUUCCUUUAUGGGAUGUUCACAAC